GAUGAACGCUGGCGGCGUGCCUAAUACAUGCAGGUCGAGCGAACGGACGAGAAGCUUGCUUCUCUGAUGUUAGCGGCGGACGGGUGAGUAACACGUGGAUAACCUACCUAUAAGACUGGGAUAACUUCGGGAAACCGGAGCUAAUACCGGAUAAUAUUUUGAACCGCAUGGUUCAAAAGUGAAAGACGGUCUUGCUGUCACUUAUAGAUGGAUCCGCGCUGCAUUAGCUAGUUGGUAAGGUAACGGCUUACCAAGGCAACGAUGCAUACCCGACCUGAGAGGGUGAUCGGCCACACUGGAACUGAGACACGGUCCAGACUCCUACGGGAGGCAGCAGUAGGGAAUCUUCCGCAAUGGGCGAAAGCCUGACGGAGCAACGCCGCGUGAGUGAUGAAGGUCUUCGGAUCGUAAAACUCUGUUAUUAGGGAAGAACAUAUGUGUAAGUAACUGUGCACAUCUUGACGGUACCUAAUCAGAAAGCCACGGCUAACUACGUG
RNAcentral lists this ribosomal RNA (497 nucleotides) under uncultured bacterium. RNAcentral describes it as "partial 16S ribosomal RNA". It matches the Rfam family "Bacterial small subunit ribosomal RNA", at positions 28 to 507 of the family's 1533-position model. The record is from RNAcentral.